This 477-nucleotide unclassified non-coding RNA is filed under the name Hevea brasiliensis (rubber tree). Lineage: Eukaryota; Viridiplantae; Streptophyta; Magnoliopsida; Malpighiales; Euphorbiaceae. The record is from RNAcentral.
GCAAGGCAAAAGAAAAAAAACAUGAAUCCUUUUCUGGAGCCCCGCGAUCAGAAACAAAACCUUAGAAACUCGAGAAUUAACCGCUAAAAUGUAUGUUCGAGUUUUCCAGUCCCUGAAUUAUACAUUCUAAAAACUGUAACAUAACAUGUUGGAAGGAUAUGCAGUUAAUUAGUUUUCUUGUCAUCUUCUUUUAUGGCAUUCUCAUUUGUUGCCUCAGCUCCUUGAUUUUCUUCACCACCGAAACCGAAUUCAUUUAUACGUUUCUUGUCAACGGGAUAAAUCCAUCUCUGAUAUAGAAUGAUAAGAAAUAUGACAUCAUCCCGAAACACCGAAAGUCGGUGUAGGGUUGGCAUUUUGAUGACAAAAGCAAACAAGUCGUCAAUGAUAGUAUUAAGGAACUUGUAUGUCAUCUGUCUCCAGGGUAGAUGAGCCACAGACUUGAGCUUGUAAUUUAUGAACAACUGUGGACACAUCAUA